RNAcentral lists this ribosomal RNA (254 nucleotides) under uncultured bacterium. RNAcentral describes it as "partial 16S ribosomal RNA". It matches the Rfam family "Bacterial small subunit ribosomal RNA", at positions 524 to 776 of the family's 1533-position model. The record is from RNAcentral.
UACAGAGGGGGCUAGCGUUGUUCGGAAUUACUGGGCGUAAAGGGCGCGCAGGCGGCUGCUCAAGUCAGGCGUGAAAGGCCUGGGCUCAACCCGGGAAUUGCGCUUGAGACUGGGCUGGCUUGAGUGCGGGAGAGGAUGGUGGAAUUCCCAGUGUAGAGGUGAAAUUCGUAGAUAUUGGGAGGAAUACCGGUGGCGAAGGCGGCAUCCUGGACCGGCAUUGACGCUGAGGAGCGAAAGCCAGGGGAGCAAACGGG